UACAGGGGGUGCAAACGUUGCUCGGAAUUAUUGGGCGUAAAGCGCGCGUAGGCGGCUACUUAAGUCGGAUGUGAAAGCCCUUGGCUCAACUGAGGAAGUGCACCCGAAACUGAGUGGCUUGAGUACCAAAGAGGGUCGCGGAAUUCCCGGUGUAGAGGCGAAAUUCGUAGAUAUCGGGAGGAACACCGGUGGCGAAGGCGGCGACCUGGGUGGAUACUGACGCUGAGGCGCGAAAGCGUGGGGAGCAAACAGG
RNAcentral lists this ribosomal RNA (253 nucleotides) under uncultured bacterium. RNAcentral's name for it is "partial 16S ribosomal RNA". It matches the Rfam family "Bacterial small subunit ribosomal RNA", at positions 524 to 776 of the family's 1533-position model. The record is from RNAcentral.